Molecule: ribosomal RNA, 496 nt
Filed under: uncultured bacterium
Lineage: Bacteria
Description: partial 16S ribosomal RNA
Rfam family: Bacterial small subunit ribosomal RNA
Source: RNAcentral
GAUGAACGCUGGCGGCGUGCCUAAUACAUGCAAGUCGAGCGAACGGACGAGAAGCUUGCUUCUCUGAUGUUAGCGGCGGACGGGUGAGUAACACGUGGAUAACCUACCUAUAAGACUGGGAUAACUUCGGGAAACCGGAGCUAAUACCGGAUAAUAUUUUGAACCGCAUGGUUCAAAAGUGAAAGACGGUCUUGCUGUCACUUAUAGAUGGAUCCGCGCUGCAUUAGCUAGUUGGUAAGGUAACGGCUUACCAAGGCAACGAUGCAUAGCCGACCUGAGAGGGGGUUCGGCCAACCUGGACCUGGGACCGGUUCCAGACCCCAAGGGGGGGCAGCAGGGGGGAAUCUUCCCCAAGGGGGGAAAGCCUGCAGGGGCAACGCCGGGGGGGGGAUGAAGGUCUUGGGGUCGAAAACCUCUUUUAUUGGGAAAAAAAAAAUGUGAAAAUAACUGGGCCAAUCUUGCGGGAACCAAAGCAAAAAGCCCCGGCUAACUCCGG